Molecule: non-coding RNA, 366 nt
Organism: Poeciliopsis prolifica (blackstripe livebearer)
Lineage: Eukaryota; Metazoa; Chordata; Actinopteri; Cyprinodontiformes; Poeciliidae
Source: the annotation of a RefSeq genome assembly
AUGACUUUCAUCUGCGUCCUCAUCUGGACUCUCCUCUGCUGCUGCUUCACAGAGGUCAGAGGUCGGGUCACUGUGACUCAGCCUGGAACAGUGCACUCUGCUGUUGGAGAAUCCAUCACAAUCAACUGUAGGACUAAUCAGAGGGUGUACUCUUGGAAUAGCAAGUAUUAUGUGGCUUGGUACCAACAAAAAGAAGGAAAAUUCCCUAAACUUCUCCUGUAUGAUGCCAAUACACCAGCAGAUGGGAGACCCAGUCGCUACAGAGGUAGUGGGUCCAGUUCUGACUUCACUCUGACCAUCAGCGGGGUCAGGGCUGAAGAUGCAGCAGUUUACAUCUGUCACUGUGUUCAUGAGGAAAGUCACUGA